GUUCAACUAGCACAAAUCAACCCUUCAGGAGCGACGGUGGCAUUCAUGGCGAUGUAUAUAGCCACCCAUUGCAAACACAACCAAAUUGAAACAUCUCUCACCUUCAGGAGCGAUGCUGGCGUUCAUGGCGAGGUCCUGCUCCUUCGUGAGUCGUCCACGCCGGAGACCCGCGCACUGCUGCUUUCCUAGGCCCCUGUAAUCUUGGCACUUGAACCGAGCCCUGCAUCCGAUUGCCGAUGAAACGGACCCUUUUGGCUUCGCUGGUCCAAGCGACGCACCCCGUCCUCCUCCGGCAUCAGCUGCACUGAAGAAGAAAGCUUUGUUCCAUCUCCGGCCACCUCCUCCACGUAGCAAGUCCGGUCUUUCUCACCCACGGCCUUACCUACAAUCCUAUCUAACUCGAGCACUGUCGGCAAAUGCAGCAUUUGCCGAGAUACGAUGGUUCGUGCACAUCUCUCCCUCAUCGAUCUGGUUGAUUUUGAUUAGAAAUUCAGUUUCGUUUUUUACUGUCCUUGAAGGAAUAAACAGAUGAAACUCACCAUGUUCUACCUGCAAUUCCAGUCGUGCAUCUCUCUCUCUCUCUCACACAUUAGUAUGAAUCAUAUUGAUAUUUUUAUUGCUACUUAUGAUUGAUUUGCAGAAUUGAACAUAUGACAUAGUGCAGUUCAUCUCCAGUAUGUUCGUUCGUGACAGUACUAUUUCAGAGACAUUGUUGUUCUUCUACUGUAUGUGUUCAAAACCAAAGGUUUCGUUUGAUUGCUGCUCAGCAUCCGGAGGCUUGAGUAUUGCACCUAAAAGAAGGAGGCAAGGAGCUCUAAUUAUUAGUUCUCUGAUUUUUUCAUUGCAAAAAAAAGGAGCUCUAAUUAUUUUUUAUCUGAUAUUCUUUUUGCUUUGAGAUAAACGCUGGAAUAGUAACAGACUUUCAGUUUCAAGCAUGUCAAUGUAUAAAUGUAUAAUUACAAUCAAAGAAUCUUCUAUAAGGCUAAGCAUUUGGGAUAUUAUGUCUUCAAACCUAUAGCAUCUCUUGACAUGUAAGAAUAAUUCUUUUCUGUCAUUACAAUAUCACUAUAUAAUUGUUCUGGUUUGAUGA
Long non-coding RNA from Triticum dicoccoides, 1090 nucleotides. RefSeq lists it as uncharacterized. Lineage: Eukaryota; Viridiplantae; Streptophyta; Magnoliopsida; Poales; Poaceae. The transcript has 2 exons. The record is from RefSeq and is a predicted model, not a curated record.